GGGUCUGAUCCCGGCUCAGAUUGAACGCUGGCGGGAUGCUUUACACAUGCAAGUCGAACGGCAGCACGGACUGGUCUUGGUGGCGAGUGGCGAACGGGUGAGUAAUGUAUCGGAACGUGCCUAGUAGCGGGGGAUAACUACGGGCGAAAGGUAGCUAAUACCGCAUACGGCCCUUCGGGGGAAAGCGGGGGAAUCUUCGGGCCUCGCACUAUUAGAGCGCCUAUUAUCGGAUUAGCUAGUUGGUGGGGUAACGGCUCACCAAGGCGACGAUCCGUAGCUGGUUUGAGAGGACGACCACACUGGGACUGAGACACGGCCCAGACUCCUACGGAGGCAGCAGUGGGGACCAAUGGGGAAACCCUGAUCCAGCCAUCCCGGCGUGUGCGAUGAAGGCCUUCGGGUUGUAAAGCACUUUUGGCAGGGAAAGAAAUGGCACGGGAUAAUACCCCGUGCAACUGACGGUACCUGCAGAGAAUAAGCACCGGCUAACUACGUGCCAGCAGCCGCGGUAAUACGUAGGGUGCAAGCGUUAAUCGGAAUUACUGGGCGAAGCGUGCGCAGGCGGUCUGGAAAGAAAGAUGUGAACCAGAGCUUAACUUUGGAACUGCAUUUUUAACUACCGAGCUUAGGCGGUGCUUGAGAGGUGGAAAUCUGCGUAGCAGGGAAAUGCGUAGAUAUGCGGAUGAACACCGAUGGCGAAGGCAGCCUCCCUGGGAUAACAGACUGGACGCUCAUACACGAAAGCGUGGGGAGCAACAGGAUUAGAUAAUUCCCAGAACCACGCCCUAAACGAUGUCAACUAUUGUUGGGGCCUUCGGGUCUGGUAGCGCAGCUAACGCGUUGACCGCCUGGGGAGUACGGUCGCAAGAUUAAAACCCAAAGGAAUUGACGGGACCGCACGCGUGGAUGAUGAUUGAUGCACAACGCGAAAAACCUUACCUACCCUUGACAUGUCUGGGAAUCCCGAAGAGAUUUCCGGGAGUGCUCGCAAGAGAACUGAACACAGGUGCUGCAUGGCUGUCGUCAGCUCGUGUCGUGAGAUGCUGGGUUAAGUCUCGCAACGAGCGCAACCCUUGUCAUUAGUUGCUGUCAGGGCAAUUCCACAGAUUGCCGGUGACAAACCGGAGGAAGGUGGGGAUGACGUCAAGUCCUCAUGGCCCAGGCAGGGUCACACGUCAUACAAUGGUCGGGACAGAGGGUCGCCAACCCGAAGUAGGGGAGCCAAUCCCAGAAACCAUCGUAGUCCGGAUCGCAGUCUGCAACUCGACUGCGUGAAGUCGGAAUCGCCAGUAAUCGCGGAUCAGCAUGUCGCGGUGAAUACGUUCCCGGGUCUUGUACACACCGCCCGUCACACCAUGGAGGGUUUAACAGAAGUAGUUAGCCUAAACUGUAAGGGAGGCGAUUACCACUGUGAGAUUCAUGACUGGGGGUGAAGUCGUAACAAGGUAG
Molecule: ribosomal RNA, 1449 nt
Filed under: uncultured Bordetella sp.
Lineage: Bacteria; Pseudomonadati; Pseudomonadota; Betaproteobacteria; Burkholderiales; Alcaligenaceae
Description: partial 16S-23S ribosomal RNA intergenic spacer
Rfam family: Bacterial small subunit ribosomal RNA
Source: RNAcentral